ACUUUCCUACGGGAGGCAGCAGUGGGGAAUAUUGGGCAAUGGGCGCAAGCCUGACCCAGCAACGCCGCGUGAAGGAAGAAGGCUUUCGGGUUGUAAACUUCUUUUCUCAGGGACGAAGAAAGUGACGGUACCUGAGGAAUAAGCCACGGCUAACUACGUGCCAGCAGCCGCGGUAAUACGUAGGUGGCAAGCGUUAUCCGGAUUUACUGGGUGUAAAGGGUGUGAAGGCGGGACUGCAAGUCAGAUGUGAAAA
RNAcentral lists this ribosomal RNA (253 nucleotides) under uncultured bacterium. RNAcentral describes it as "partial 16S ribosomal RNA". It matches the Rfam family "Bacterial small subunit ribosomal RNA", at positions 333 to 600 of the family's 1533-position model. The record is from RNAcentral.